ACAUAGGCACGAAAAUUCCGGAAUUCAAACCAACAGUUCUUGUACUAGUAAUGUUUCAACAUACAAAACAGGUAUAGAAAAUUGUUAUAUGUGUGUCUGUCGUGGAAAUCCACUUGACUAUGAAAACACAACUUGUUCAAAUAAUGUUUAUGAAGAAACUACAGGUGUUUUUAAAUCUGGUGAGAGUUUAGAUGCAGAUAAUGUCCCAAACAUGAUGUGGUUGUAUGUAAUGUGCUGUGGGUUAAUAGCUGCUGGAUAAGCAAUUGUAUCCUGUAAAUAUCCAACACUUGAUAAAGGUAG
This is a long non-coding RNA of Mytilus californianus (California mussel), 300 nucleotides long. RefSeq lists it as uncharacterized. The record is from RefSeq and is a predicted model, not a curated record. Lineage: Eukaryota; Metazoa; Mollusca; Bivalvia; Mytilida; Mytilidae. The transcript has 4 exons.